UUUGAUCGGAAUAAAUAUAAAUUCUUUUCUUAUUUCUAUUUUAUUGACCAAUAUAAACAUCAACAACUUCAAAUUGGACUUGUUUCCCCUCCAAAAAUAAAGGCUUGGGCUAACAAAAACCUACCUAAUGGAAAAGUCGUUGGCGAAGUCACAAGGCCCUCUACUUUUCAUUAUAAAACCGAUAAACCAGAAAAAGAUGGAUUGUUUUGUGAAAGAAUCUUUGGACCCAUAAAAAGCGGGAUUUGCGCUUGUGGCAAUUCUCGAGCAAGCGGAGCUGAAAACGAAGACGAAAGAUUUUUCCAAAAAUGCGGGUUAGAAUUUGUGGAUUCUCGGAUACGAAUAUAUCAAAUGGGAUACAUCAAACUCGCAUGUCCCGUGACUCAUGUGUGGUAUUUGAAUGGUCUUCCUAGGUAUACCACGAAUCUUUUAGAUAAACCUCUUAAGAAGUUGGAGGGCCUAGUAUACGGCGAUUUCUCUUUUGCUAGGCCCAACACUAAAAAACCCAAAUUGCAUCCUGUAACCACAGCAUUUCUCCCUUUUUUCUACCCCAGGCUUUGCAACAUUUCGAAAUCGGGAAAUUGCGACAGGAGCAGGUGCUAUUAG
This 603-nucleotide ribosomal RNA is filed under the name Triticum aestivum (bread wheat). Its description in RNAcentral is "partial small subunit ribosomal RNA". The record is from RNAcentral. Lineage: Eukaryota; Viridiplantae; Streptophyta; Magnoliopsida; Poales; Poaceae.